AGUGGCAGCAAAAACUCUCCUGUCCUGUUAGUAGUGUCCUGAGGACUGUCUGGGACAGUCAGACACUGUCCUGUGACUGCCAUGACUGUCUCGGGACAGUCAGACACUGUCCUGUACGCUUUCCUGUGACUCUAGCACACUGUCCUGUGACUUCGUGAC
Long non-coding RNA from Etheostoma spectabile (orangethroat darter), 159 nucleotides. RefSeq lists it as uncharacterized. The transcript is spliced from 4 exons. The record is from RefSeq and is a predicted model, not a curated record. Lineage: Eukaryota; Metazoa; Chordata; Actinopteri; Perciformes; Percidae.